GCGAUUUUUAUGCACCAAGUGCAUUCGGACCUCGGAGCAAAGAAAAGCAGAAUCAGGAAGAACAGAAAGCAAAGAGCAGAGCCGAACACAACAGAAAGACCAAAGACAAAUUCCUGCGUUUUUCCAGGAAUUCACUCAAUAAACUCAAACAAAACCCAAACAUUAAACAAACGAGCCACAGCCACAACCAUAUCCACAUCCACAUCCACAUCCCAGCCAGACGACGGCGAAGAUGCUGACCAAGACGGAAGGCGAAGAUGAGGAUGAGAUGGGGGCUCCAAGCGGGUAAUUCUGGACGGGGAUGGGGGGACGACUACGAUGCGAAGCGCUGAGCAAAACACAAAAUAAACCAAAAAGCAGCCAAGGAAUUUAAAACAAGAACACCAUGGUGUUGUCGCACUCCACGAGCUUGGAGCUGUGAAUGUGAAACGAAUGGUCAUAG
This is a non-coding RNA of Drosophila melanogaster (fruit fly), 442 nucleotides long. Lineage: Eukaryota; Metazoa; Arthropoda; Insecta; Diptera; Drosophilidae. The record is from Ensembl.